CCGAUGUAGCAUAGUGGUAGUGCAACGCACUCGUAACGCGUAGGUCGUAGGUUCAAGUCCUAUCAUCGGC
Molecule: transfer RNA, 70 nt
Filed under: pig gut metagenome
Rfam family: tRNA
About the family: Transfer RNA (tRNA) molecules are approximately 80 nucleotides in length. Their secondary structure includes four short double-helical elements and three loops (D, anti-codon, and T loops). Further hydrogen bonds mediate the characteristic L-shaped molecular structure. tRNAs have two regions of fundamental functional importance: the anti-codon, which is responsible for specific mRNA codon recognition, and the 3' end, to which the tRNAs corresponding amino acid is attached (by aminoacyl-tRNA synthetases). tRNAs cope with the degeneracy of the genetic code in two manners: having more than one tRNA (with a specific anti-codon) for a particular amino acid; and 'wobble' base-pairing, i.e. permitting non-standard base-pairing at the 3rd anti-codon position.
Source: RNAcentral